This 1397-nucleotide ribosomal RNA is filed under the name uncultured organism. Its description in RNAcentral is "16S ribosomal RNA". It matches the Rfam family "Bacterial small subunit ribosomal RNA". The record is from RNAcentral.
CUAACACAUGCAAGUCGAGCGGUAGCACAGAGAGCUUGCUCUCGGGUGACGAGCGGCGGACGGGUGAGUAAUGUCUGGGAAACUGCCUGAUGGAGGGGGAUAACUACUGGAAACGGUAGCUAAUACCGCAUAACGUCGCAAGACCAAAGUGGGGGACCUUCGGGCCUCAUGCCAUCAGAUGUGCCCAGAUGGGAUUAGCUAGUAGGUGGGGUAACGGCUCACCUAGGCGACGAUCCCUAGCUGGUCUGAGAGGAUGACCAGCCACACUGGAACUGAGACACGGUCCAGACUCCUACGGGAGGCAGCAGUGGGGAAUAUUGCACAAUGGGCGCAAGCCUGAUGCAGCCAUGCCGCGUGUGUGAAGAAGGCCUUCGGGUUGUAAAGCACUUUCAGCGGGGAGGAAGGCGUUAAGGUUAAUAACCUUGGCGAUUGACGUUACCCGCAGAAGAAGCACCGGCUAACUCCGUGCCAGCAGCCGCGGUAAUACGGAGGGUGCAAGCGUUAAUCGGAAUUACUGGGCGUAAAGCGCACGCAGGCGGUCUGUCAAGUCGGAUGUGAAAUCCCCGGGCUCAACCUGGGAACUGCAUUCGAAACUGGCAGGCUAGAGUCUUGUAGAGGGGGGUAGAAUUCCAGGUGUAGCGGUGAAAUGCGUAGAGAUCUGGAGGAAUACCGGUGGCGAAGGCGGCCCCCUGGACAAAGACUGACGCUCAGGUGCGAAAGCGUGGGGAGCAAAACAGGAUUAGAUACCCUGGUAGUCCACGCCGUAAACGAUGUCGAUUUGGAGGUUGUGCCCUUGAGGCGUGGCUUCCGGAGCUAACGCGUUAAAUCGACCGCCUGGGGAGUACGGCCGCAAGGUUAAAACUCAAAUGAAUUGACGGGGGCCCGCACAAGCGGUGGAGCAUGUGGUUUAAUUCGAUGCAACGCGAAGAACCUUACCUGGUCUUGACAUCCACAGAACUUUCCAGAGAUGGAUUGGUGCCUUCGGGAACUGUGAGACAGGUGCUGCAUGGCUGUCGUCAGCUCGUGUUGUGAAAUGUUGGGUUAAGUCCCGCAACGAGCGCAACCCUUAUCCUUUGUUGCCAGCGGUUAGGCCGGGAACUCAAAGGAGACUGCCAGUGAUAAACUGGAGGAAGGUGGGGAUGACGUCAAGUCAUCAUGGCCCUUACGACCAGGGCUACACACGUGCUACAAUGGCAUAUACAAAGAGAAGCGACCUCGCGAGAGCAAGCGGACCUCAUAAAGUAUGUCGUAGUCCGGAUUGGAGUCUGCAACUCGACUCCAUGAAGUCGGAAUCGCUAGUAAUCGUAGAUCAGAAUGCUACGGUGAAUACGUUCCCGGGCCUUGUACACACCGCCCGUCACACCAUGGGAGUGGGUUGCAAAAGAAGUAGGUAGCUU